RNAcentral lists this long non-coding RNA (1084 nucleotides) under Sus scrofa (pig). Its description in RNAcentral is "lncRNA (ENSSSCG00015000090.1)". The record is from RNAcentral. Lineage: Eukaryota; Metazoa; Chordata; Mammalia; Artiodactyla; Suidae.
UCAAGAUUUGUAUUUCUUUUCUUUUUUUUUUUUCUUUUUGCCUUUUCUAGGGCUGCAUCUGUGGCCUAUGGCGGUUCCCAGGCUAGGGGUCUAAUUGGAGCUGUAGCCACCGGCCUACGCCAGAGCCACAGCAACACCAUAUCCGAGCCUCGUCCGUGACCUACACCACAGCUCACGGCAACGCCGGAUCCUUAACCCAUUGAGCAAGGCCAGCGAUCAAACCCGCAAUCUCAUGGUUCCUAGUCUGAUUCGUUAACCACUACGCCACGACGGGAACUCCUUUUUUUAUUUCUAAUCAAUACAGAAUUGCUACAUGUUAAUAUAAACGACACACCACCCAGCCACACAGUGAUGAGAAGGUGCAGAUUUGUGGAAAGGAAUCAGCCUGAGGACUCUAGGAAAUUCCCAAUAGGUAACAAUGCGUCUGCUUCAGAGUGUCAACGUGAAAAGCUGCCAUCAGCAAGGAGAAUCUUCCUAAAACAGGUGAGAAAGGGUCUUGGAGAAAAAAUUUUUGUACAACAACAAUGUCUACCCUAUGGUACACCCAAUAUUUGAUAAACAGUGAAAUGCAGGGAAAUAGACCUGAAAAUUCAGGUACAAAGGAAUUGCAACAUUUUUGGAUAAAAAUGCAUUGAACAUCUUGCAAAUACUCAAGAUAGGUCUAACGAGGUAUUUCCCCUGCCUUAAAAAAUCAACCCCAUGUACAUUCUUCUUUUUCUGCCUGUCUCUCUUUCUCACUGUUUUUCUCUCUGUGCAGUGAGAAUCUACAGUGUGCUGAGAAAAAUGUAUCUUUUUCCUGCAGCUGGCUCUGAGCUUGUCUCCUGCAGACAGUGAACGGCCCAGAGAUAAAGCCCAUCCCCACCAGGCCUGUAUUUAGCAGCAAUCUUGUGAAAACAGAUCCCCUGUGUUUGCCUGUGGUGGGGUCUGCCGUGUCUCUUAUAGGUGCUUGGCAUGCUGAAAAGAACUGCUGAGUUGGACAUUGAUGGAGACAUGGCAUUCUUGUACAAGGGGACAGGGAAGACCCCAGGGGACCCUGGGGCUGCCGCCUCUGCAGGUGGCGCUGGCUAGCCAGGAGGCAUGAAUU